RNAcentral lists this transfer RNA (64 nucleotides) under Perforatus perforatus. RNAcentral describes it as "tRNA-Pro". It matches the Rfam family "tRNA". Rfam says of the family: Transfer RNA (tRNA) molecules are approximately 80 nucleotides in length. Their secondary structure includes four short double-helical elements and three loops (D, anti-codon, and T loops). The record is from RNAcentral. Lineage: Eukaryota; Metazoa; Arthropoda; Thecostraca; Balanomorpha; Balanidae.
CAGAAAGUAGUUUAAUAUUAAAAUCUAGGUUUUGGAAAUCUAAGAUGCUUUUUAGCCUUUCUGA